This 93-nucleotide transfer RNA is filed under the name Rhodocyclaceae bacterium. RNAcentral describes it as "tRNA-Ala". The record is from RNAcentral. Lineage: Bacteria; Pseudomonadati; Pseudomonadota; Betaproteobacteria; Rhodocyclales; Rhodocyclaceae.
GAUGGCGUGGCGGAAGCCGCCCGCCGCUGUGCGCGCGGCGAGAUGUUCGGCAGUAUCGAGCAGGUGGCGGUGCAGUUCUUCCACGCCCUCGCC